UGCUAACUCAACGGUAGAGUACUCGGCUUUUAUCCGACUAGCUCCGGGUUCGAAUCCCGGGCAA
This 64-nucleotide transfer RNA is filed under the name Avicennia marina. Its description in RNAcentral is "tRNA-Lys". It matches the Rfam family "tRNA", at positions 5 to 66 of the family's 71-position model. Rfam says of the family: Transfer RNA (tRNA) molecules are approximately 80 nucleotides in length. Their secondary structure includes four short double-helical elements and three loops (D, anti-codon, and T loops). Further hydrogen bonds mediate the characteristic L-shaped molecular structure. tRNAs have two regions of fundamental functional importance: the anti-codon, which is responsible for specific mRNA codon recognition, and the 3' end, to which the tRNAs corresponding amino acid is attached (by aminoacyl-tRNA synthetases). tRNAs cope with the degeneracy of the genetic code in two manners: having more than one tRNA (with a specific anti-codon) for a particular amino acid; and 'wobble' base-pairing, i.e. permitting non-standard base-pairing at the 3rd anti-codon position. Lineage: Eukaryota; Viridiplantae; Streptophyta; Magnoliopsida; Lamiales; Acanthaceae. The record is from RNAcentral.